Molecule: long non-coding RNA, 1564 nt
Organism: Apteryx haastii (Great spotted kiwi)
Lineage: Eukaryota; Metazoa; Chordata; Aves; Apterygiformes; Apterygidae
Source: Ensembl
UCCCUCUUCCUGCUCCUCUCUCCUCUUCUCUCUUCUCUCUCUUCUCUCGCUCCUCUUCUGUCCUCUCUUGCUCCAGUCUCCUCUACUCUUGCUCCUCUUCUCUCUUCUCUCUCCUCUUCUCUCUUCUUUUCUCUCUUCUCUUCUCUCCUUGCUCCUCUUCCCUCUCUCCUUUUCUCUUCCCUCUCUCCUUUUCUCUUCCCUCUCUCCUUUUCUCUUCCCUCUCUCCUUUUCUCUUCCCUCUCUCCUCUUCCCCCUUCCCUCCUGUCUUCCCUCUUCUUCCCUCUUCUCUUCCCUCUUGCCUCGUUUCUUCUCUCUUCUCUCCUCUUCCCUCUUCCCUCUCUCCUCUCUUCCCUCCUCCCUCUUCCCUCACUCCUCUCUUCUCUCACUCCUCUUCUCCUCUUCUCUUCUCCCCUUCUCCCCUUCUCCUCUUCUCUCUCCUCUUCUCCUCUUCUGACUGAAAUACUUUAAAAGAGAAUGUUAUUACUGCUAUACAAAUUCUGCUUGAUUACUGCUUACCCUCCAAGAACAAAAGGAAAAGGUAGUUUGUCAAGCUAUGACAUAACUUAUGUUAAUUAGUUAUCUUUUUAGGCUCCCCUGCAGUUUGAUGAAAGAUUGGGCAGGAGAUCAAACAAAAGUUCUUCUUGAUUCGGGAUAGAGAAAAGCUACUCCUCACAGAAAUGGUUGAGUUCGAGUUUCCUGCCUCAUCUGUAAUUUUUGGAGCAAUUAAAAAGAAAAAGGAAAAAAGGAGUUUCUCUCACAUUACUUCUUUUCCCUUUUAGUUAAAGAAGAAAGAGAAAGAAAGAGGUCUYUUUUCUACUUGUAUUCUCUAAUAUGAAACUCAAAGUUAAGAAUUCUUUUUUAGGCCAAUCUUGGUUUAAUUUGCUGUGAAUAAUUUUUUUUUUCUGCAAUACUUAAACCCCAAAAGUAAGGAGUUUUCUUUUUGUAAAGAUAAGGGUAAUUGAAUCUUACCCUCAGGGUGUAUGUGGAUUGCCAGAGGAAGGAUUCUUGCCUCUCAUAUACAGAGUUGUAUGGUUGGCUAGAAUCAUAUAGUGGCUAAUGCUUUCUGAAUGUUUCAGGAAUUGUAGUUGGGAUGAUCAUUUAUACACAAUUUAAAUGUAUAUCCAAAGUGCCAUUACCCUGUUAAUGUUUGUCAUCUAAUCGGGAGCAGAUACAAAAGUAAGUUACCUACGAGUCAUACAGAAUAGCUAACAAACAAUGAACAGUCAAAAUGGAGAAUAAGCUGCAAUCUGAAAUAGAUUGUCCAAAGUAUUUUUCAGGAACUCGUGAGUAUCAAGGACAUAAAAAUCAUAUACUCUUUACUAGCAAAAGAAGUUCAUUUUUAUGUAGUGUAUUUUGGAGACAUUAAGRAAGAGCUCCAAAAUUGAAGGUAUAAUAUGUAUACAUAAGACAUGCCUAGAUGACUACAAGUGAUCACUAGUUGCAUCUGGCAUAAACUCCGUAUCACUGAAAUAUGUGGCUGAAAGCCAUUAUUAACAAGAGAAACCAAAGUAUUGUAAGAAAAUCUCAUAAUAAAAACCUGAUAUCUUAUGGAUUCCGUUUACUA